GACGAACGCUGGCGGCGUGGAUUAGGCAUGCAAGUCGAACGGUAUCAUCCUUUCGGGGGUGAGAGAGUGGCGAACUGGUGAGUAACACGUAGGUUAUCUACCCUCAAGACGGGGACAACCCAGGGAAACUUGGGCUAAUACCGGAUGUGAGCAACUUUUAGUUGUUUGAAAGGUGGCGUAAGCUGUCGCUUGGGGAUGAGCCUGCGUCCUAUUAGUUAGUUGGUGAGGUAACGGCUCACCUAGGCAAUGAUAGGUAGGCGGCCUUAACGGGUGGUCGCCCACACUGGGAUUGAGAUACGGCCCAGACUCCUACGGGAGGCAGCAGUUGAGAAUAGUCUACAAUGGUCGGAAGACUGAUAGUGCGACGCCGCGUGAACGAUGAAUCCCUUCGGGGUGUAAAGUUCUUUUAUAUGUGAGCAGUGCUUCUUAUAUUAACAGUAUGGGGAGAGAGAUAUUAGCAUAUGAAUAAGCAACGGCUAACUCCGUGCCAGCAGCCGACGGU
Molecule: ribosomal RNA, 502 nt
Filed under: uncultured bacterium
Lineage: Bacteria
Description: bacterial SSU rRNA
Rfam family: Bacterial small subunit ribosomal RNA
Source: RNAcentral